This 253-nucleotide ribosomal RNA is filed under the name uncultured bacterium. RNAcentral's name for it is "partial 16S ribosomal RNA". It matches the Rfam family "Bacterial small subunit ribosomal RNA", at positions 524 to 776 of the family's 1533-position model. The record is from RNAcentral.
UACGUAGGUGGCAAGCGUUGUCCGGAUUUACUGGGCGUAAAGAGCGCGCAGGCGGUCGUCCAAGUCGCGUGUGAAAGCCCCCGGCUCAACUGGGGAGGGUCACGCGAUACUGAUCGACUGGAAGGCAGGAGAGGGUAGUGGAAUUCCCGGUGUAGUGGUGAAAUGCGUAGAUAUCGGGAGGAACACCAGUGGCGAAGGCGACUACCUGGCCUGUUCUUGACGCUGAGGCGCGAAAGCUAGGGGAGCAAACGGG